Molecule: ribosomal RNA, 164 nt
Filed under: uncultured bacterium
Lineage: Bacteria
Description: partial 16S rRNA
Rfam family: Bacterial small subunit ribosomal RNA
Source: RNAcentral
UAGGGAAUCUUCGGCAAUGGGGGCAACCUGACCGAGCAACGCCGCGUGAGUGAAGAAGGUUUUCGGAUCGUAAAGCUCUGUUGUAAGAGAAGAACGUGUGUGAGAGUGGAAAGUUCACACAGUGACGGUAACUUACCAGAAAGGGACGGCUAACUACGUGCCAG